AAUCCAGUGAAUAUAAUUCAUUAGUUGCCAAAAUGAAUUCACGGCCCCUUGGAGUAUACGUUACUCGUGGUGUAAGUCGACAUGCUUGUCUCAUCUUGAUAAUUGAUUAAAUGAAUCUAUAUGCAUGGUAGAAUAUCAGGAUCAGAGACAUCAUACAUGGAUGGAUUUGAACAACAAAUCAAGUAGCCAUGGCAUGUGGACAUCUCAGCCAUAGUCUAAAAUCACUGGAAACAGAGACGCUGUAAAUGAGUCGAACAGGUAUAUUACACAACAAUCAUUCCAAACACUAAAGCAUAAGAAUGCUUCUCGAAAUUGUAUUUCGAAUUUCGUUCAGGCAUUUUAAUGAACACUUGGCGAUCAGUUCAAAAACAGAACACGGAGUCAUUAUCGAAGCGUCAAUUCCGAUCCCGACAAUUGCAAUGACAUCGGAACGCAUUUAAACUCCUACCAACAGAUCUACCAUCACCAUUUCUACGCUCACUCGAAACCUUAAAUCACAAACCUCGGAUUCAGCUCAAUAAACAAAGCAAUGAUGUACAUACCUCGGAGCCUGUCUUUGGCCGCGAACGGCGACGUCUUGGCGGCAGCAGCAUCGCAGGAGAUCGGCGUCCGCGUAGAAGAAGCUCCAAACGAGUCUCUCGAUUCUGUGUUUUUUAGCUUUCGGCUGUGACAUCUCUCUUGACUUCGGUGAUCGGCGACACGGGCGAAAAGAGAGAGAGA
RNAcentral lists this long non-coding RNA (720 nucleotides) under Eucalyptus grandis. RNAcentral's name for it is "long non-coding RNA (EGRA_LNC002240)". Lineage: Eukaryota; Viridiplantae; Streptophyta; Magnoliopsida; Myrtales; Myrtaceae. The record is from RNAcentral.